This 406-nucleotide ribosomal RNA is filed under the name uncultured bacterium. RNAcentral describes it as "bacterial SSU rRNA". It matches the Rfam family "Bacterial small subunit ribosomal RNA", at positions 356 to 774 of the family's 1533-position model. The record is from RNAcentral.
GGGGAAUAUUGCACAAUGGGCGCAAGCCUGAUGCAGCAACGCCGCGUGAGGGACGACGGCCUUCGGGUUGUAAACCUCUUUUGGCAGGGAAGAAGCGAAAGUGACGGUACCUGCAGAAAAAGCACCGGCUAACUACGUGCCAGCAGCCGCGGUGAUAUGUAGGGUGCAAGCGUUGUCCGGAAUUAUUGGGCGUAAAGAGCUCGUAGGCGGUUUGUCGCGUCUGCUGUGAAAACCCGAGGCUCAACCUCGGGCCUGCAGUGGGUACGGGCAAACUAGAGUGCGGUAGGGGAGAUUGGAAUUCCUGGUGUAGCGGUCGAAUGCGCAGAUAUCAGGAGGAACACCGAUGGCGAAGGCAGAUCUCUGGGCCGUAACUGACGCUGAGGAGCGAAAGCAUGGGGAGCGAACA